Molecule: transfer RNA, 70 nt
Filed under: Sympagella nux
Lineage: Eukaryota; Metazoa; Porifera; Hexactinellida; Lyssacinosida; Rossellidae
Description: tRNA-Ala
Source: RNAcentral
GGGAUUUUAGUUUAACCAAAAACGUUAAAAUUGCUAAUUAAAAAUAUAGAAAUAAUUCCUAUAAAUUCCA